Molecule: non-coding RNA, 132 nt
Filed under: Bacillus solimangrovi
Lineage: Bacteria; Bacillati; Bacillota; Bacilli; Caryophanales; Bacillaceae
Description: SAM-I sequence
Rfam family: SAM riboswitch aptamer (S box leader)
About the family: The SAM riboswitch is found upstream of a number of genes which code for proteins involved in methionine or cysteine biosynthesis in Gram-positive bacteria. The SAM riboswitch acts at the level of transcription termination control. The predicted structure consists of a complex stem-loop region followed by a single stem loop terminator region.
Source: Rfam by way of RNAcentral
CUCUUAUCCUGAGCUGGCGGAGGGACAGGCCCUAUGAAACCCGGCAACCGACAUCGUGUUAUUAGUUUACAACGUACAUGAUGAAAAGGUGCCAACCUGAUGCAAGACUCACAUAGUCUUGAACGAUAAGAG